GAGAAAGGCAGGCCAGAGAGAUAGAGACAGGCAGGCCAGAGAGCUAGAGAAAGGCAGGCCAGAGAGCUAGAAACAGGCGGGACAGAGAGAUAGAGACAGGCAGGCCAGAGAGAUAGAGACAGGCAGGCCAGAGAGAUAGAGUUAGUUGGGCCAGGGAGAUAGAGAGAGGUGGGCCAGAGAGAUAAAGACAGGUGGGCCAGAAAGAUAGAGAAAGGUGGGCCAGAGAGAUAGAGACAGGCGGGCCAGAGAGAUAGAGACAGGCGGGCCAGAGAGAUACAGACAGGUGGGCCAGAGAGAUAGAGACAGGCGGGCCAGAGAGAUAGAAACAGGCAGGCCAGAGAGAUAGAGAAAUGUGGGCCAGAGAGAUAGAGAGGUGGAGAGGUGUUGGGUUUGCGCUAGACAACACCUUUCAUCGGCAGCGACUGGGAAACUGGUCAGAAUUGAAGGAAUGAUGGAUGACGCUAAAUACAGGGAAAUUCUCAAGAUUUGAGACUAGGACGGAGGUUGCAGUUUUUUUGCAGUCAUGUCAUCCGUUAUCGUCCGUUAUCGUCCGCUAUCAUCCGUCAUCCGUUAUCUGCCCAACCCUGGGGAGGAGUCAAGGUUUGACUUUCAUUGGCCGGAGCAGUAAAUCUCAGCCUGAGUUUUUUUUUGUUGGUCACAGACAGGCAACAGUCACAACACCUUUAAUAAAACACACACCGUCAC
Molecule: long non-coding RNA, 705 nt
Organism: Oncorhynchus tshawytscha (Chinook salmon)
Lineage: Eukaryota; Metazoa; Chordata; Actinopteri; Salmoniformes; Salmonidae
Source: Ensembl